AACAAGGUUUCCAUAGGUGAACCUGCGGAAGGAUCAUUG
This 39-nucleotide ribosomal RNA is filed under the name Lathyrus pannonicus subsp. collinus. RNAcentral's name for it is "partial 18S ribosomal RNA". The record is from RNAcentral. Lineage: Eukaryota; Viridiplantae; Streptophyta; Magnoliopsida; Fabales; Fabaceae.